UGCCAAUGAUGCAUUUUAAUGCACGUAUUAUCAGAAAUAAUUAUGAUGAUUUGUAAUUGUCACUACCGCUGAGGCU
Small nucleolar RNA from Cannabis sativa, 76 nucleotides. RefSeq annotates it as small nucleolar RNA snoR122. NCBI's taxonomy places the organism in Eukaryota, Viridiplantae, Streptophyta, Magnoliopsida, Rosales, Cannabaceae. The transcript has a single exon. The record is from RefSeq and is a predicted model, not a curated record.